This 785-nucleotide long non-coding RNA is filed under the name Nicotiana benthamiana. RNAcentral's name for it is "long non-coding RNA (NBEN_LNC041930)". The record is from RNAcentral. Lineage: Eukaryota; Viridiplantae; Streptophyta; Magnoliopsida; Solanales; Solanaceae.
UUAUUUCACCAAAUCAACCGCCCCUCCCUUCUAGUAGUCCAUCUCUCUCUCUCUCUAAACCCUAAACCCCCAAAUCCUCUUCAUUUUCUUCUUCUUCUUCUUCUUCUUCUUCUUCUUCAAUCAUCCCUCUUCCCCAUCUACAUUCCUCUCAUCCUUCUUCCAUUAACGUAUGAUACUCACCUCUCGCCUCUCUUUUGUUUUUGUAUUUUUUUGUAGUAUAUGCUAGUUUAAUGUUGUUAUGGUGUAGUAAUUAUUAGUAUAUUUUUGUUAGCUUAUUCUUAUUUUUUCUUGUGAAUUUCACUUUUUAGAAUGGUUGGUGAAAGGGAUGUGUGUUUAAUUUAGUGGAACGUUUUAUGUAGGUGUUGAAUGAAUUGUUGUGGGGUGUGAUGGUGUAGUAGAAUUUUUCAUUUUGGGUGGUGUUGAUAUAUUCACAUAGGCAAUGUACAUGAAGUAAUUUGUCUUGCCCACAAGGUGUUUGGGGAAUUACCCCAAUGGAGUUAUAAGGGGAUAAUGUGACAUGUUUGUGGUGAAGUCUGAGUAAUGACCCAUAGUGAUACAUUUCACACACUUACUAAUGGGUGUUUCUCUGUUUGACAGGUACAAUGAGUUCAUCUAGAAUGAGAUGCAACACCGAGUCCUCCUCUAGUGGACCGGAAAGCUCCUUGAGAGUUAGGAACCAGGAAAGUGCACCACAGUUUGACAACACUAGGUUUGUCUCCAAAUCGGCGGAGGACAGAUGCAAAGCCAAGGCAACAAAGAAAUUAUUACAUGAGGUGCACAUUGAC